GGUUUGUUAGCUCAGUGGUAGAGCAACCAGCCAAGGCUGGUGUGUCGCAGGUUCGACUCCUGUGCAAGCCUCCU
This 74-nucleotide transfer RNA is filed under the name Marinobacter zhejiangensis. RNAcentral's name for it is "tRNA_Undet_???". It matches the Rfam family "tRNA". Rfam says of the family: Transfer RNA (tRNA) molecules are approximately 80 nucleotides in length. The record is from RNAcentral. Lineage: Bacteria; Pseudomonadati; Pseudomonadota; Gammaproteobacteria; Pseudomonadales; Marinobacteraceae.